Molecule: ribosomal RNA, 760 nt
Filed under: uncultured archaeon
Lineage: Archaea
Description: bacterial SSU rRNA
Rfam family: Archaeal small subunit ribosomal RNA
Source: RNAcentral
GGAUAACCUGCCCUUGGGUCCGGCAUAACCCCGGGAAACUGGGGAUAAUUCCGGAUAACGCAUAUAUGCUGGAAUGCUUUGUGCGUCAAAUGGAUUCGUCUGCCCAAGGAUGGGUCUGCGGCCUAUCAGGUAGUAGUGGGUGUAAUGUACCUACUAGCCGACGACGGGUACGGGUUGUGAGAGCAAGAGCCCGGAGAUGGAUUCUGAGACAUGAAUCCAGGCCCUACGGGGCGCAGCAGGCGCGAAAACUUUACAAUGCGGGAAACCGUGAUAAGGGGACACCGAGUGCCAGCAUCAUAUGCUGGCUGUCCAGGUGUGUAAAAUACACCUGUUAGCAAGGGCCGGGCAAGACCGGUGCCAGCCGCCGCGGUAACACCGGCGGCCCGAGUGGUGAUCGUGAUUAUUGGGUCUAAAGGGUCCGUAGCCGGUUUGGUCAGUCCUCCGGGAAAUCUGAUAGCUCAACUAUUAGGCUUUCGGGGGAUACUGCCAGACUUGGAACCGGGAGAGGUAAGAGGUACUACAGGGGUAGGAGUGAAAUCUUGUAAUCCCUGUGGGACCACCUGUGGCGAAGGCGUCUUACCAGAACGGGUUCGACGGUGAGGGACGAAAGCUGGGGGCACGAACCGGAUUAGAUACCCGGGUAGUCCCAGCCGUAAACGAUGCUCGCUAGGUGUCAGGCAUGGCGCGACCGUGUCUGGUGCCGCAGGGAAGCCGUGAAGCGAGCCACCUGGGAAGUACGGCCGCAAGGCUGAAACUUAAA